ACUCCUACGGGAGGCAGCAGUGAGGGAAUAUUGGACAAUGGAGGCAACUCUGAUCCAGCCAUGCCGCGUGUAGGAAGACGGCCCUAUGGGUUGUAAACUACUUUUGUACGGGAAGAAAUACAGUCACGUGUGAUUGUUUGACGGUACCGUAAGAAUAAGCACCGGCUAACUCCGUGCCAGCAGCCGCGGUAAUACGGAGGGUGCAAGCGUUAUCCGGAAUCAUUGGGUUUAAAGGGUCCGUAGGCGGGUAAUUAAGUCAGUGGUGAAAUGCAGGGGCUCAACUCCGGCACUGCCAUUGAUACUGGUUAUCUUGAAUUAUUGUGAAGUGGUUAGAAUAUGUAGUGUAGCGGUGAAAUGCUUAGAUAUUACAUAGAAUACCGAUUGCGAAGGCAGAUCACUAACAAUAUAUUGACGCUGAUGGACGAAAGCGUGGGAGCGAACAGGAUUGGAUACCCCUGGUAGGAUAGCG
Molecule: ribosomal RNA, 469 nt
Filed under: uncultured bacterium
Lineage: Bacteria
Description: bacterial SSU rRNA
Rfam family: Bacterial small subunit ribosomal RNA
Source: RNAcentral